RNAcentral lists this ribosomal RNA (253 nucleotides) under uncultured bacterium. RNAcentral's name for it is "partial 16S ribosomal RNA". It matches the Rfam family "Bacterial small subunit ribosomal RNA", at positions 524 to 776 of the family's 1533-position model. The record is from RNAcentral.
UACGGAGGGUGCAAGCGUUAUCCGGAUUCACUGGGUUUAAAGGGUGCGUAGGAGGGCAGGUAAGUCAGUGGUGAAAUCCCCGAGCUUAACUUGGGAACUGCCGUUGAUACUAUCUGUCUUGAAUAUUGUGGAGGUAAGCGGAAUAUGUCAUGUAGCGGUGAAAUGCUUAGAUAUGACAUAGAACACCAAUUGCGAAGGCAGCUUACUACACGACUAUUGACUCUGAUGCACGAAAGCGUGGGGAUCAAACAGG